Non-coding RNA from Pelobates cultripes (western spadefoot toad), 157 nucleotides. The record is from the annotation of a GenBank genome assembly. Lineage: Eukaryota; Metazoa; Chordata; Amphibia; Anura; Pelobatidae.
GCAGACACAUUCCAGCCAAUCAGCAGCAGUCUCUCCGUCCCAGACCCUCCCACCUCCUGGACAGCAUCCAUUGUGAAGCUGCAUUCUUAGUGAGCUGUCCAGGAGGUGGGAGGGUCUGGGAGGGAGGGUCUGUUGCUGAUUGGUUGAAAUGUGUCUG